This 1063-nucleotide long non-coding RNA is filed under the name Pan troglodytes (chimpanzee). RNAcentral describes it as "long non-coding RNA NONPTRT015561". The record is from RNAcentral. Lineage: Eukaryota; Metazoa; Chordata; Mammalia; Primates; Hominidae.
CGUUAAUGGAGGAAGUGAGGUCAGUGUGCUUCUGACAAUCCUAACAAGAUGACAGAAUUUAUGAAGCGCUGCGGUAGAAAGAUGUAGUUAUCUGCAGUCUAUUCAUAUAAUAAGGCCACUUGGGGCCCGUCGUUACUCCCCUUGAAUUUGUUUUCCUUUCUUCAUUCCUUUUUGUUGUCCGGCUCUUCCUUUGGCUUUCCUUUCGGAUCUACCUAGAACCAUUAUCGCUUCAGACCACGUGAUAGCUAAGGGAAGCAGGCCCACUUCCUCCUAAGGAUGGGUGGCCCGUUCACUGGACUGUGUGUGAACCCCGGUAACAAGGGAGGGUGGAGUGGGCCAAGUCUUUGGGUCAGCUUUGUAUAAAACCUAAAUGUGGUACCAAAUCAGCAGCACCUGAAGACCGAGUUCACAUUUUAACUCAACCCAAAAAAGGAAACCCGUGACUGUUUUUAAAGUCCAACGUCUUUCUCAUCCCAAUGAACGAGGACAUCUCUUUUUCUACAACCCUGUGAGGUGAGGUGAAAUUGCACUGUCCCUGGGGAAACUGAGAGGCAUGAAACCAUCCUGGCCUGAGUGAUCAGUGAAGACUGGAUGGGGAGGUCCAGCUUGGUCUGCACAAGACUGGAGCAAAGGAUGAAAAAAUUUGAAAGGGAAAAAGGAAAAAAAGCACCCAGCACAGUGCCAGGAAACCAGUAGAGACCAGCACUACUCACGUAUGGACCAAGGACCCCUGCACCAGAAGCUUGUUUAAAGGCUGCCAAUUCCUCAGCCCACUACAGGACCACAGGUUACUGAAACCGAGGAAAGAAAAACCACAAGAUAAGGGGGCACUACUGUGUGUACCAUAACCAGGGCAUCACUUCAUUAUACCUACUUUGUGUAAAUGGGAGCAGAAGAGGCUGCCCAGAAAGAAGAGCUGAGCUUUGAAAGAAGGGGACAGAGCAUGCAAUUGCAGAUGGCCAGGAGUGGAGCGUGACCAGGGGAAGAGAAGUUUCUUCUCAAAGAAUCUGGAACAGAAUUACAAAUCUGGCAAAGCUACCUCAUCCCUGAACUCCCAGCUCCA